RNAcentral lists this long non-coding RNA (2739 nucleotides) under Gossypium barbadense (sea-island cotton). Its description in RNAcentral is "long non-coding RNA (GBAR_LNC014190)". The record is from RNAcentral. Lineage: Eukaryota; Viridiplantae; Streptophyta; Magnoliopsida; Malvales; Malvaceae.
GACACUUGAGAGAGGAGGAGAAGCUCUCCACCUAUGGCUUUUCUUCCUCUUUUCUCUCUCAAAUGAAAAUCCCCCAAACACUCAGGUUUUCUUCCAUUAAAUCUUAUUAGAAAACAACCUUGUACUUGAUUUCCACCAUCAUCUUCUUCAUUUGAGUAUGGGGCUUCAAGUGGGCCAGUGAGAGAAAGUUAUGGCUAGAGAGAGAAAUCUCAAAGAAAGGUAAUAAAAUGACCUCUCUCCAUCUCCACCUUUAAUAUUUGAGAGUUUUAGCAUGAAAUAGUCAUUGGAGUACAUUGUAAUUUUUUGUAUAUAUGUUUUUGUGUUGAGAGAGGGAGAUUAGUAGAAGAGAUGGCUAUAAGAUAUUUUGGAGUGGGUUCAAGUGUUUGUUAUUAAUAAAGUAAGUACCAUGGAUUCUGUUAACUUCCCCAACUAAAUGAUAUGAAGACAAAGCAUGUGAGAAAAUGAUAUAUAUCAUAUAAAGUAUAUGAGAAAUUGUUAAAAUGGUAGAUAAACUAUAUGAUGACCAUGAAUAUCUUAGAUAAAAUUAAUAAUACCUAUAUGAGAAAAUAAUAUCUUAGUGAGUUCUGAUAAUUGGAAGAAACAUGGUGGAAAUAAUGAAUUUGGCUUAAUAACACUAAAAUGGAUUAGAAAAGUGACAAAGCAUUAUUGUUAUACCAUAAUGUGGUUGUAAUACCCUCAUUCUGAUUCGGUUUGCCGAAUUCAGGUCUUGGGUAUUACCACACGAAUACAUAAAAAAGAAAAAAAAACUAAAUUUACUAAUACAAUUUACAAUUAAGUACAACUUGAAUACACACUGAUUCAAACUAAAUUACAUGUGUAUGUACAAUAGGUAAAUACAACUUCAAUACUUGAAGAUUAAUUUACAAUAAUAUCUAAAUUGGAAUCCUAAUCUAAAACAAUUAUCUAAAAAUGUGGAUUUCUAAGUGACAUUUUAGACUUUGAAUGCGCCUUCCGACUUAUUCUGUAUGCAUAAUAACCCGAUACGCCCCUUCAAUUAGCGUAGUCCUGGCCUCGUCCCUCCUAGCGCUAUCUUGUAGUGUUUCACCUGUGACACAUCAUACACAAGGUAAGUUCACAAGAACUUAGUGAGAGAAACAUUUUUUACCCAUAUAAUAAUUACACAUCACAAUUGAUGAAUCGUAAGGAUAAUCUUAUCAUUCUUAACUUUUAAUUUUGCCCCUGACGAGUGCUUCCUUAAUUUCUAUUCUGACAUCCUCGUCAAAUACCAUAGCUUACUCUGAAUUCUUUCCGUCUCAUCGAUGUGUUCGAUACAUUCCUUACUUUCUUAUAUCCGAUCAAUCCAUGCAACCUAAUCAAGAAUUCUUUUGACGUACUCAAGACUGGACCAAUGUACCAAUAAAAUUCAUGAAAGAGUUCAUAUAUAAACAAUAGAUAUUUCCUUCGAACGUACAGACGUAAAUAUUCAUAUUCUGAACACACUUUCUAUACCAGCUUGUUCUUUCUCUAUAUCUCUUUAAUUUAUUAUAUUCGGUCGGUUCACAACCUUAUUAUACUUUACCACAUAAUCUAUAAUAACCUUAUUUCUAAUUGACUUUACUAAUUUCGCUUAAGACCCAUACCGAACACGCCUAAGCAACUUGAUACAGGAUCCACCACAAAGAACAUUUCUUUAAGGUACGCCACUGAGAGCCUUAUUAUAAUGCACCACGAGGGCAUUUCUUUCAAAAUUCCCCAUGGGAGUUGUUCCUUUAGAGUAUGCCACAAAGUCUAUCAUGUCAAGAUUCGCCAAAAAGACUAUUCUUUCAUGAUGUGUUUACGAUAUAGAUUUGUCUAAACUCAUGUCAUGUGAGGUUUGCCCAUCAUCGUCCCAUGAUACAUAGAGAACCCCAUUGGGUAAUCACUGUCUUUUAAUUCCUUUCGGAAGAUGCCAUGUUGAUAAAUCUUGAAAAUAGUUAUAUUUCACACCUCUAAACUGAAGUAUUUGCUUGUAAUUAAGAAAAUAUGUUUGAAUUUUAGGCUUAUUACUAGAUCAUUACAUACUAAAGCUUGGAUUGCAUUCUAACUGUAAAUUUAUGUUACUUUUAAUUGCUAGAAAGAGGUUUGGUAGCCUUUGGUAGUAGGUGCAGGUAGGAUGAAAGAGGCAAGAAGAAUGAAAAGAUGAAAAGAGAACAAAGGAGGUGAAACAUUGCCAUGGCAAAUGGUGGGAUAGAUUGCCAAUAGAAAUGUCAUGGAAAUUCCAGUAAGAUGACGCAACACUCAAUCCACGUCACUCUCAGCCAACUGUACGUGUACCAGAUAAAUCACCCUAAAAAAGAGUAGUAAAAUAUGUGUGCUGAGAGGGACAUAUCUACCGUAUAAAAAGAGGAGAGAGAAGAGAAGGACACACAGAUUGUGAGGAGAAAAGAAAAGAAAGAGAGCAAUUUCUCUCUCUGCAACAGAAUCUUAUGGAGAAAUUGCGUGGAAAAUUCAGAAAAGAAGAAAAGGGUAACAACUAAAAAGAGGAGAUCAUAUAUGCGGAUAAGGGGAAGAGAAAUUUGCCCUAGGUUUUUCAUAAAAUCUUAAGAAAAAGCUGGAGUGUAGCGAAAACUUCCUACAUUUCUGCCUUUGUUCUAUUUUUCUUCAUUUUAAUUUCUGUGAUUCAUAAAACUUGAAGAAUGGUGAUGAAUGGUUUAAUUUUGGAUUUCAUUGCCCAACCCAUAAGCUAAUUAUCUUUGGGUUGGAAUUAUUUGGGUGAAUAUUGAAUUAUCUGUAAUGCUC